This 254-nucleotide ribosomal RNA is filed under the name uncultured bacterium. RNAcentral's name for it is "partial 16S ribosomal RNA". It matches the Rfam family "Bacterial small subunit ribosomal RNA", at positions 524 to 776 of the family's 1533-position model. The record is from RNAcentral.
CACGUAGGGGGCAAGCGUUGUCCGGAUUUAUUGGGCGUAAAGAGCUCGUAGGCGGCUUAGUAAGUCGGGUGUGAAACCUCCAGGCUCAACCUGGAGACGCCACCCGAUACUGCUGUGGCUAGAGUCCGGUAGGGGAGCGUGGAAUUCCUGGUGUAGCGGUGAAAUGCGCAGAUAUCAGGAAGAACACCAGCGGCGAAGGCGGCACUCUGGGCCGGAACUGACGCUGAGGAGCGAAAGCGUGGGUAGCAAACAGG